Molecule: transfer RNA, 68 nt
Filed under: Crocodylus porosus (Australian saltwater crocodile)
Lineage: Eukaryota; Metazoa; Chordata; Crocodylia; Crocodylidae
Description: tRNA (ENSCPRG00005000018.1)
Rfam family: tRNA
About the family: Transfer RNA (tRNA) molecules are approximately 80 nucleotides in length. Their secondary structure includes four short double-helical elements and three loops (D, anti-codon, and T loops).
Source: RNAcentral
GAGGACAGAGCAUGUCGUAUUGCGAUUGGCUUGAAACCAAGUGGUGGGGGUUCAACUCCCCCUGUCCU